RNAcentral lists this ribosomal RNA (402 nucleotides) under uncultured bacterium. RNAcentral's name for it is "bacterial SSU rRNA". It matches the Rfam family "Bacterial small subunit ribosomal RNA", at positions 355 to 774 of the family's 1533-position model. The record is from RNAcentral.
UAGGGAAUAUUGGUAAUGUGCGAAAGCGCGAACCAGCAACGCCGCGUGCACGAUGAAGGCCUUCGGGUCGUAAAGUGCUUUUAGAGAGGAUGAGGAAGGACAGUACUUUCUGAAUAAGCCUCGGCUAACUACGUGCCAGCAGCCGCGGUAAAACGUAGGAGGCAAGCGUUAUCCGGAUUUACUGGGCGUAAAGCGCAUGCAGGUGGUUUUGUAAGUUGGAUGUGAAAGCUCCUGGCUUAACUGGGAGAGGUCGUUCAAAACUACAAGACUUGAGCUUGGUAGAGGAAAAUGGAAUUCCGGCUGUAGUGGUGAAAUGCGUAGAUAUCCGGAGGCACACCAGUGGCGAAAGCGGUUUUCUGGACCAAUUCUGACACUCAGAUGCGAAAGCUAAGGUAGCAAACG